CGGGGGGAGCGGGGGGGGGGGAAGGACGCCCUAACGGAGGUUGCCGGCGCUCUGUGCCAGGCUUUCGCCUUUCAGAAUAACGGCCUCAGCUGGAAGACACAAAGGCCAGGGCCUGGAAUCAUCUGAAGACUUACUUGCUCACAUGUAUGGUGGUCGGUGCUAGCUGAAGCCUGAGACCUUAACUGAGACUGUUGGCUGGAAUACCUAAAUAUGAAUGAAGGAUGAACUUGACAGGUGCAAGGACAGAAGAGCACCAGAAGACAAAACCCUGUAAGGGGCCAUGGCACCAUAAUAACAACUCAUGUUUACUAAGUGCACACCACAUGCCAAACAUCAUCCCCUGCAACAGGGGGCUAGAGAAAAAAGGAGCAUCAAAGCCAGUGGGGAAAGCCAGACAGGACUGAGCUGAAUUGUGACUCCACAAAUUACUAUAAUAGUUAUUUGAACAAGGGCAACUUUUCCUCUCUAAAAAGUGUAUGUGUGUGUAUGCAUAGCAUAUGAAAUAAAAAGUAAAAGUUC
This is a long non-coding RNA of Lemur catta (Ring-tailed lemur), 519 nucleotides long. RefSeq lists it as uncharacterized. NCBI's taxonomy places the organism in Eukaryota, Metazoa, Chordata, Mammalia, Primates, Lemuridae. The record is from RefSeq and is a predicted model, not a curated record. The transcript is spliced from 2 exons.